Rhincodon typus (whale shark) is the source of this 702-nucleotide long non-coding RNA. RefSeq lists it as uncharacterized. NCBI's taxonomy places the organism in Eukaryota, Metazoa, Chordata, Chondrichthyes, Orectolobiformes, Rhincodontidae. The transcript is spliced from 3 exons. The record is from RefSeq and is a predicted model, not a curated record.
UUACUCACUUCUGUGCUCCCUGAUCAUCUCUUUGUCGAUACCAGCGAUCAUUGCCAAAGCCCUGUUGCCUGUGGAAAAGGUGAUGUUUGACUUUCUUGUGCUGCUGCAGUUUGUAUGAUGAAGGUGCUCCCACAAUGCGGUUAUUUGAAAAGUUACAGAUCAUUCAUCUAGCGAUACUGAAGAGCUGAUGGUGAUAUUACAAGUGGACUUUCAGGUGGGAAUCUCAAUAAUUGUAACACCAAACUCUGACAGAAUUACUCAAUUCAUCAGGACCUGGAUAUUCGCAUUGUGUGUGAGUAUUGUGUUCCUGCUCAUUCCCAUUUGCCGUGUAAAAUUUCUCUCUUAAAUCACCCCAUUCUCUCAAUAGAUCUUCCCUAAAACUUUCAAUAUGUGUCCUGUAAUCCUUUUUUAUGAUCAGUUGAUGAGUAUACGUUUUAUCAUCCAUAUGUAUAUCUUUUGUAAACACCUCUAUCAAAGGUCCCCUCAAAUUCCUUUGUUACAAGGAGAACAAUCUCAGUUUCCCCAAACACCUGAUUCCCCAAUGACUGUUUGCUGUCUAUAAGGCACUCAUCCGGAUUGUGUUGGAACAUUUUCCACUUACCCGCAUCAGUGCAGCCCCAACAAUAUUAAAGAAACUGAACAUCCUCCAGAUGAAGCACUGUGUCAGAGUGGUGUCCCAUCCACCACAUUCAACAUGCCCCC